This 492-nucleotide ribosomal RNA is filed under the name uncultured bacterium. Its description in RNAcentral is "partial 16S ribosomal RNA". It matches the Rfam family "Bacterial small subunit ribosomal RNA", at positions 29 to 507 of the family's 1533-position model. The record is from RNAcentral.
AGUGAACGCUGGCGGUAGGCCUAACACAUGCAAGUCGAACGGCAGCACAGUAAGAGCUUGCUCUUACGGGUGGCGAGUGGCGGACGGGGGAGGAAUACAUCGGAAUCUACUUUUUCGUGGGGGAGAACGUAGGGAAACUUACGCUAAUACCGCAUACGACCUACGGGUGAAAGCAGGGGAUCUUCGGACCUUGCGCGAUUGAAGGAGCCGAUGUCGGAUUAGCUAGUUGGCGGGGUAAAGGCCCACCAAGGCGACGAUCCGUAGCUGGUCUGAGAGGAUGAUCAGCCACACUGGAACUGAGACACGGUCCAGACUCCUACGGGAGGCAGCAGUGGGGAAUAUUGGACAAAGGGCGCAAGCCUGAUCCAGCCAUACCGCGUGGGUGAAGAAGGCCUUCGGGUUGUAAAGCCCUUUUGUUGGGAAAGAAAAGCAGCAGGUUAAUACCCCGCUGUUCUGACGGUACCCAAAGAAUAAGCACCGGCUAACUUCGUG